ACAAUUAACUUUACUGCUCCCAACUCACAAGAAUGGACAGAUGAUUAUAAAUGACAACUAUAUGUCAAUUACAAUAUCCAAUAAAGUGAAGCUUAGAGAACAAUCCGUCUCCUUUUACUGCUCUUCCUUGACGUAGCUGAAUUUAGCUCAACCCACUGUUGUCACAAUGUAGCCAUUGUUUGGAGGAGGGGUAAGGGGUUUGGCUUGGCUUUCCACCACCCCCCUUUUUAUUUUAAUUUUUCAGUUUCUUAAGAAGUGGUUCAAAAAUACCCAUGUAAAUACAUUUUCUGAAGGAGGAGAGCCACAGGAAACCAGGAAUAAAUGCCUCAUUCAUUCUAUAGAAAACUUGCUGACUUCUGCAGAAAACUCUACAUUCAUGAGCCGAAAAUGACCCUUUCCAGGCACCUGCAAAGUCCUCUAACAUAAUCACAAACUCAUCAAGGUACAAGUUAAAUCACGUAACAGACAAUGCCCCAGAUACUACACGUCUGUUGGAUCACCAGGGGAGAACUCCAAACAUUAAGAGGCUAAGAAAUGUCCCCCAAAGAGGUAAGAGGUAAGAUUAUUCAAGGUGUCUUACUUUUCCCUUCCUUUGGUGGUUGAAAACAUUUUAUUCUGCACUGUUUGCAGGGAGGGGGUGUUUUGUUUUCUCCAAAGAGACAGACAAACACAAAAACAAUUGCGUGGAAUCAAGUUACGCGAACAUCACGGAACUGCUUCUUGAAGCAUUCCAAAUAUACGUUUUUGCUAAUUA
Molecule: long non-coding RNA, 754 nt
Organism: Herpailurus yagouaroundi (jaguarundi)
Lineage: Eukaryota; Metazoa; Chordata; Mammalia; Carnivora; Felidae
Exons: 3
Source: RefSeq, a predicted model, not a curated record